Molecule: ribosomal RNA, 466 nt
Filed under: uncultured bacterium
Lineage: Bacteria
Description: partial 16S ribosomal RNA
Rfam family: Bacterial small subunit ribosomal RNA
Source: RNAcentral
GAUGAACGCUGGCGGCGUGCUUAACGCAUGCAAGUCGAACGGAAAGGCCCUGCUUGCAGGGUACUCGAGUGGCGAACGGGUGAGUAACACGUGGGUGAUCUGCCCUGUACUUUGGGAUAAGCCUGGGAAACUGGGUCUAAUACCGAAUAUGACAAUUGUUUGGAUGCGAUUGUGGAAAGCUUUUGCGGUAUGGGAUGAGCUCGCGGCCUAUCAGCUUGUUGGUGGGGUAAUGGCCUACCAAGGCGUCGACGGGUAGCCGGCCUGAGAGGGUGUACGGCCACAUUGGGACUGAGAUACGGGCCAGACUCGUACGGGAGGCAGCAGUGGGGAAUAUUGCACAAUGGGCGCAAGCCUGAUGCAGCGACGCCGCGUGGGGGAUGACGGCCUUCGGGUUGUAAACUCCUUUCGCAACCGACGAAGCCUUUUGGUGACGGUAGGUUGAGAAGAAGCACCGGCUAACUACGUG